UGGCGGACGGGUGAGUAAUGUCUGGGAAACUGCCCGAUGGAGGGGGAUAACUACUGGAAACGGUAGCUAAUACCGCAUAACGUCGCAAGACCAAAGAGGGGGACCUUCGGGCCUCUUGCCAUCGGAUGUGCCCAGAUGGGAUUAGCUAGUAGGUGGGGUAACGGCUCACCUAGGCGACGAUCCCUAGCUGGUCUGAGAGGGUGAUCAGCCACACUGGGACUGAGACACGGCCCAG
RNAcentral lists this ribosomal RNA (235 nucleotides) under uncultured bacterium. Its description in RNAcentral is "partial 16S ribosomal RNA". It matches the Rfam family "Bacterial small subunit ribosomal RNA", at positions 96 to 334 of the family's 1533-position model. The record is from RNAcentral.